Long non-coding RNA from Beta vulgaris subsp. vulgaris (sugar beet), 282 nucleotides. RefSeq lists it as uncharacterized. The transcript has 2 exons. Lineage: Eukaryota; Viridiplantae; Streptophyta; Magnoliopsida; Caryophyllales; Amaranthaceae. The record is from RefSeq and is a predicted model, not a curated record.
UUUUACAACUGAAUCAGAGGUAUUAUUGCCCCCUGGCCUCCCUCCAAGUACUAGGAUAUUCUUGUUGUUUCUUGACCAUGUAGUAUUCCAAAUCCCAUUUGCUUAAAGAAACCUGUCCUGUCAAUGCCAUUUUUUCCUGCCCAGUCACAUGCUCAAAUUUGAACAAAGUUGGGUUAUCUGUACACUGAUGCGAGUCGAUGAAAGAUUGACAAAGCAGUUUUGGUAAUGAAUAUAUCCCUCUGAUAUUUUAUGUUCUCUGAUAUAUUUUGUUUUCAAGAUAUA